CAUAAUGUUCUUCAUGUAAUUGUAGAUUAAUGAUACCAAAAUAAAAAUAAAAUAAAAUAAAUCACCAGCUGAGUAUAAAACCAUAUUUUAAAUGGCUUGCGUUCAGAAAGACUCUAAAAAGAAAGCCUGCCACGGUAAGGAAUGCCACAGCCUGCUGGUGUAUGCCAGAGCUCCCUAUGUGAGGAGGCAACUGGAUGUCACAGCUCAACCUUCCAACUCCAUUCCCAUAAAGAAUGAUUGAAUGAUCGUACAGAGUGAUGUUUAUUAGUAUUUUCUUGUUUAAUUCUUGAAAGUCUAACUACAGGUCUUAGGGAAAAAUCUACCAGUUGUGGGAUUGUUGUUACUACAAUCAGAUUCCUGAGAGAAAAUAGAUAAAAAGAAAAAUUUGUGCUUAAAAUACUUCUAAUUCACAAGACAAUGAAGUGACACUUAAGUGAAAAUAUUGAGAUUUGCUGCUCAUAUUCUAAACUGGUUCUUCAUUAAAUUAACUUUAUCUAAAGUAAAAUUAAGAAAAAGUUUGGUGUCAAGCAUUUUCUCUUAAAGGGUUGAAAUUAGUGCCCAAUUAACCUGUACCCAGAACUGAUUUUUAACUGUACUGACUGGUAUGGCCCUACUGGUUACCAUAUUGGAAUACUUCUACCCAGUUGGGAAUAACCAAGUAACUACCCCCCAGAUGAUGCCCUCUGUCUUAGCCACCCUGUCCAACAGCCCCACAGCCUCCUCAUGAUGCCGCAACAGAAUGACAUCUGGUAGAGAAGGGCUUGUGGACUGUGGCCCAGGAUCUGUCUGACUGGUCUGUGCCCCACUAGUUGUUAAAUAACCAUAUUUUGAAUGUUGAUCCCUGUCUAUGUCAAUAAUAACUGAAUGGCACAUCAGUGAUUAAUCAAGAAGCGUAAAUUUGGCAUAUUUUUUCUUAGUCUUGAACGCGGUAGUGUGGGUAUGAUUUAAAUGAUCCAAUGGAAAACUGCUGGAAACACCAAAUCUGAGGGAACUUACUUAACUCUUAACUUUUCUGUAUUGUCCUACCUUCCUCUUCUCUUCUCAUAUACACACAUUUCCUUCCUGAAAAGGCACUGCCCUGUUUUGUUUUGUCCUUUUAUCGUUGGACCUUGAAGUACCUUAAGUCAUUUAGUGUUAGUGUCAUCAGAGUACUGUCAAUACACAGUCACAUCAAUGUGGAUCUUACUGAGCUACUAUUUUAACUCUGAGAUUCAUUUGUUUUUCUUUCAAGGAGAGGCAAAUGUAAUCUGUCCUGUGGUUUACUGCUCUGCCACAUGUUUUAUUGACUUCUCAUUGGCCUCCCAAAGAUUAAUAAUCUAUUCUUCUAAAUUCUGAUUGUUUGGGGUGGAAUGAUUGUUUCUUGUCAUUUGAGAUGAAGCCAUAUGGUAUGAGAAUUUAAAACAUGGGCUGUGAACUCACCUGUUUGAGUUUCACCUGCUUCAUACCUACAUGACUCUAGGUAAGUUGUUCAACCUAGCCAAGUAUCAUCAUUGGUCAAGUAGAGAUGAUAAGAGUUUUAAUAUCUCUUAAAUGUGACAAAAGCAUUAAGUGCCUACGGAGACAUACUGAAUAAUUGUUAACAAAACACAGUAAGCAACCUAAUUUUCUGAUCCUGGCAGAUAAGCUACUUGAAUAUUUGGUGUGUGAAUUAGAGAAUGCCAAGUGACCUUGGGAAAGUCACUUAAUCCUUCUGAGUUUCAGUAAAAUGAAUAGAAUAUCUUACCCUCCAAAGUUGUUUUGAGUCUUAAACAACAAGAAAGCAUCUAUAAGACAAUUUGCUCAACCAAUAUAUACUGAGUGCCUUUAUGUAUCAAUAUUUGCUGAUCAAACAGUGGACAGCAUAGACAAUGUGGUGUUCAUGGGGCUUACUCAGAGUAGGACUGAAUAAAUACUGAUUUGCAAUCAGAAGGCAAAGAAAUGCCAUAUACACAAUUUAUAAAAUCAAAUGUGCUUCACCCUCUCAUGAAGAGAGUAGGUUUUAUUCUUCACAAAAUUAGUGAAGCAUUCUGGUCAACAGCAGCUACAAAGAUUGUGUCACUAGUACCAAAUAAGUGACAGUAGUUGGUGACUGUCUCCUGAGGGAUUUCCAGAUGCCCAAGUAUGAACGUAAAGCUGCGUUUCUGGAUUGUGGGCCUGAGUUAUGUCAGAAUUGACCAGGUCUGCCAGUGGUUACCCAUCCUGCUAACUCCUGUGGAAACAAACGUUAAAUGAAAGCUGGAAUGUAUCUCUAGUGAUCUGAAGCCCUGAGGUGGUAAGCCAAAGUUGCAGGGGCACAGGUGGUAUUUUUUAAUCUCUCCUAGUUGUACGCCAUGCUCAGAAGAGGUAUGGGAAGCAAACAGAUGGUUUUACACAUAGUAUCAAGAGAGUUUGUUUUUCUGGACCAUGGUUUAUAGUACUAGUAUUUCAGGAUCCUAAAGGGGCCCCUGGGAAGCUGAUGCCAGUACAAGAUCAAUCGGAAAUGUAACAGAAUAAGGGAAGUACUGGUGAAGGAUAAGAGCAGGGGAUACAGAGUAAGAAUAGGCUGGGAAGGCUUCAUACCACCAUACAGUUCUCACACCUGUGAAGAGAGGUGGGAAGAAAGGAAGAGAUGGCAGAAAAAGCCUCAGAUUGCAGCACAGUCCUCAGAAAGCUGCCAAGGCCAAUGGGGUGUCCCCAGGCAAAGGUUGUCUAGGCAAGGCCUCCUGAGCAGGGCAGAGAUGGGCCAGUACUCUCCCUCCACCCAGUGGUGUGCUUUUCACCAGUGACUGGGGCGGCCUGGGGAAGAGAGAGGACAGCUUGGCCUCAGCAUAAAGAGUGGUGGAUCCGGGGGGGAUGUCAGUCACUAGGCCUUCCACAGCUGGUUGUCUUAAGGGAGAUGUGAACAGCACACUUUAAUGGGGGCUGCAGACCCUAAACUGCAUACCUCUUAGGAACUGUGGCAUACAAAGGCAGGUCUUCAGGAAUUCUACAGGCAGAAGGACCCACAUCUAGGUCAUCAUUUGGUAUUCCCCACCUCUGUAUUAGGCACUGGGGUUACAGCCCUGGGCAUGACAGAAGGGCCUCUGCUUCAUGCGAUCUUCUGGGCAGACAUGUAGGAAGGCACCAUGAACAAGUAUCAGAUGUGACCUCUUCUAGGUAGAGUGAUUGUCAUAUUCCUCUCUGGAAGCCAGGUAACCUGGGCCUUGCAGGCUGAGGAAAUAGCAAGUACAGAGGCCCGGAGGCAGGAAAGAGCUUAGCGCCUUCUAGGAAUGGAAAGAGCUCAAACGCUGGAGUGAAGGAAACCUUAGGGAAGGGAGUAGCAUGGGAUGAGGUUUUGAAGUGAAAAAGUGCCAGAUAAGGCAAGUCUUUGUCAGCUCUGGUGAGGCUUAUGGACUUUGUUUUAAAUGCAGUAGAAAGAACUGAAGAUGUUCAAAGCAGGGGGAUGGUGUGAUCUGCUUUAAAUUUUGUCAGGCGCACUCUUCCUACUGUAUCGAGGAUCACUUGGAAGGUGACAAGUGUGGUAGUUGGAGACAGAUUAGGAGAUAAGGGAAUGAUGUUGAAGACUUGGACUGAGUGGCAGCAGUAGAGAAGUGGACUUUUAAAAGGUAUUUUAGAGGUAGAACCUACAGGACCUGCUGAGGACUUCUCUGGAUGAAAGAAAAGGAGAAAUCAAAGACAACUCAGAUUUCUGGCUUAAUCAGCUGGGUAGAUAGUGAUGCCUCAUACUGAUAUGGUAGAGAUGGUGGGAGAGGGAGAUUUGGGAGGAGUAUUCUAGGAAAUUAAGAAUUCACCUUGGGCAUAUUUGGGGUGCCCACUAGCCAAGGGGCAAUGUCAAGUACAUUGUUCUUGAAGCACAUGUCCAGGUGCAUAUAUGAUUCUUGGGGAGAGGUUGGGCUGGAGAGAAUAAAUUCCACAGUUGUCAACAUGUGAAAGGUAUUUAAAGCUGUAGGAUUGGUUGAGAUCACUUAGAUGUAAAAGAAGAGGGCAUAGGCCCAAUCCCUGAGGAACCUCAACAUUCAGAAGUUAAGGCAGAGGCAGGAAUGGAGAAGAGCCAGGGCAAGAGGAGGGGAUCAGGGUGCUCAGAGGAGAGUGCUUCAGGGAGGGAGCUCCCUGUCAAGUGCCUCAGAGAUGAGGACCAGUAAGAUGGAGCUAAAAAAGUCUUGAGAACAUGAGAACAUAUUAACAAGAUCAUUUUCCAGUGAGUGAUGAGAAAGGAAGCCAAAUUAGUGAGUUAAAGAAAGAAUGGGAGAUGGGAAGGUAGAAGCUAUAUGGGUAGACUUCCCAUUUCAAGAGUUUUAUUAUGAAAGGUACCUGAGAGAUGGUUUAAUUACUGGAGGUGGAGUCCAGGGAGUCUUAAAUUUUAAUGUAUUCAUUUAUUUUAAGAUGGAAGAGGUUGUAGAAAAAAGUCAUUGGGACUAAUAGUCUUCAUCCCAGUUUGCUGGGGUUAGAUUCUCAGACAAAAAGGGAGAACAAAGUUGCCCCCAGCCCCUGGGUGGAGAGGGCUGGGUCAGCAGGGACUCCAGCUGGAGCAGGACCUGGGGUGAUGGGCUCUGAGGGACUCGGGUUUCCCAUCGGCAGGGGCAAGUCCGUGGAGGAUGGUGCUGAGCAGUGUCCCUCAGAUGUCUCUGGCCUAGCUCUGAGGUCAUGAAUCCAGAGCUCCUCUAAAAAUGCUGAAUAAUGACCUAAACAAGGCCAGCCUCCGAGGAGUUCAAUAAAGGAACGCUAACAGGAGGAGGAAGAGGCCUUGCCCCACCGCAGCAAGUGAGAGCAGCAGCUGCAGGAAGGACAAGGUCAGCUUUUGGGCCUUGGAAAUGUUAAGACUGAUACUGAAACAAGUAAAAGGUCUGUUUCUGAGAUCUUUCAGCACCAUGUACUGCCGAACAAGGCUUCCUGGCUGUGUGGGAGAAAGCUGUGUGUCAGCUGCACAAAAAGUCACAUGUCCGAAGUCAUCUCUUGUCAUUUCUUUUGGAAGGGUUUCCCAAACUCUUGAAUGCCUCUGGCAAGCAGAUGACCUGGGGAAUGGCUGUCAUGCCAAAAUGAUGGACUUCUAGCAAGGGUAAAAUCGUACCCUGUGAAGAUCAGGAAAAGUGUGUUUGUCAGAUUUAGUACUUCACCAAGAAGGCUUUAAGCUGAAAUUUGAGAAGGUGAGAAAGUUACUCAGUGAAACUGAACUUUUGUACUCAUAAGAAAAUGUGUGUCUAUAGACAUAGAGUGACUGGAGAGUCCCUUUAUUUGCAUGGGAAAAUGGGAGAAGAUGAGGAUUAAUAUAUCUGAUUACAAGUUAAGGGAUUGUGUUAGGUAGAAAAAGGAACUUAAGAUGUUAACAUCUGGAAGGAAUCAUUAUUUCACAGAUACCCUAGAAACAUAGGGCUCAGGACUGGAAUGUGGAAGCCCUGAUUUAAAGGGUGCCAGAGGAGCAAUAUGUAUACAAAAAUUAUAAAAGCACAAAGAAGGCCAGAAAUGAGCAUGAAGAAGCAUUAUAGAAACUAUAUGAAGAGAGCAUCGAGUAAUUUCACCAGGGGGGCUGUGUAAAACCUAAGAGACCACAUGCCAUUGCCAACAUCUGUAGACCAUGGUUCCAGAAUUCUGUUCCAAAGAGAGGCAAGAUGUAGUAAAAUGUAUCUCAGCUCUCUGAGCCUUUACUAGAUGGUUCACUCUGCCAGAAGAGGCACUGGGAAAUUUUUUGACAUGUUGAUGGUUUCAUCUCUGAGAAGAUGAAGGGAAAAUGAGGGUCAACCAGCUAUAUAUACCUCUGACCAAGAAGGAAAACUAUAUCAUAGUUGAGUUUACAAUUUCAUUUAGAAAAGGUAACUGGAAAAGUGGUGUGAAAACAAAACCAGGGCAAAUGCUGUGCCCAGAUUCUGUCAGGGGGAGCCUGGGUAAACAGAGAAUUCACACCGAGGCCAGAUGGGGUCCACUCUGGGUUCUAGUAGGCUUAACUUUAAUGAGGUGUAGAUGCAAAAAGUUUAGGAAACUAUAGGUAGCCCUUCAUGCUAGAAACAGAGAGACUAUGGUGCAAGAGAGAUGGAGCCCUAAACAAGGCAUUUCCAAAACAUAACCACACAUGACUGACGUCUGAAGGCAGCUGCUCAGGGACCUCGGAGGCCCUGGGACAGUGGGGCACUCUGCAGUGGAUGUGAGGCACCGGAGGGCGCCUGACUAGCAGAAACUGGGGAGAACUGGCAGGGGAGCCCGAGCCGAUGAGGCUGAGGCUUUCCAGCCAGGGCUAGUCAAUACGUUUGGAGAGCAAAGAGUAAGCAAGGAGGAGUGUGCUGUAAAGGAGGAGGACGAGAAACCACAGAAGAGUGUUGGGGAGGGGAAAGUAAAGAAACAACCCAGAAACAAUGGGGACCAUUCAGCAAACAUGGCUUUUUCAGCAUCCAUUUCUGAGGUGCAGGAUCAGGCUUUGGAGUCUCUUGGUCAGAGGACAGGUCUGAACCCCAAACCAGCCCAGGUCUAUCAGGCUCGCACUCAACACCGAAAACCUCUCCUUUGAAUACACUAAACCAGGCUCGCGGUGCAGUUCAGGAGAGUUAGCCGGCUGUGCACCUUUGGCUGAAGCUCUGGGACAGCAGCAAUUGCAUUGCUUGGCUUCCGGUCACCCUCCCCUUCCUUCUGACCCCAGCCACUCCAGAAAGCCUACCGGUGCAGGGGGCUGCAGGGAGCUGCGCUCCAAGCUUGAUCCUCAGGUGAUUCUAUCCAAAGAAGCUGCAGGACCACUGACCUAAGGAGUCUACCAGUGCCUCUUGUUGCUCAGGGACCCAUGAAUACUCAGGCUUUUAGCUUAAAAAUUCCUUUUUAUCUGACAAAGCUUUGCUGCAACCUAACCUACGGACAACAGACAAUAUUUCCUAUGGAAUGAGACCUUUAAAAAAUGUUAUACUCUCCUAAUAACUUCUCAGUGAUUCUUAAGUCUGCAGGUUAGAAACAAUCGCAGGGCCUACCCACACCAAGUCAGGAUGUCUGGGGUGGGGCCCAGGCAAGUAUGGUUUUGUUUGUUCAGUUUUGUUUUGUUUUAAGCUUUCUAAGUGGUUCUGAUAUAUACCCAAUGUGGAAAACCACUGCUGUUUAAACAUUAGGAAAUUAUAACAUCUUUUAAAGGCUCUGUUCUACAUGAUACCUAUUUCUUUUCAAAUCACCAAAUAACCCCUUUCCAUUGCUUCAUCAAAGAUAGUGUUCUCAGAAAGGAUGAAACAAACAUAGCUAAAAGACAGCAUCUGUAUAGGCAGCUGUAUAAAAUAUAUCUCUCUCGGCCCUAAAAACUUGCUUUCAAGGCACUGAAAAGAUUUGCAGCUAUAACUAAGUAGCCAUUGGUUCUUACAGCUUAAGAGGAAUAAGAGCAGCCAAAGAGGAAUCAAGAAAAUGUCAGCCCAGUUGUCUAAAAGAUGACCCAUGGACGAUACAAGCCAAUAUCCAAGGUCCAGCCUGCUGGCCCUCAGUGUGCAUCCCCAUCUUCUGUCUCUGCACAAGUUCAUGAACUCCUAACUGACCAGAAGGGCUCUGAGUGCAUUCUGCAGACCUAGCUCAAGACUACAUUUUGGAGAUGUUUGCUUCCAAAGACUCUCCUGUGAAAAAUCCCAUUUUUAUUCCUAGUAUGUAGUCCAAUUUUCCAAUCACAAGAAUAUUCUGGCAUAUUUUUUAAGAAAACCAGAUUUAUUGAAGAGCUGCUGAGUCUUUUAAAAAUGUCUUUACCCGAGAUGUAGACAAAGUUAAAUUCAUUCUCUGCAUAUAAAUCAGGGUAAGAAGGCAUAAUUGAGUCAAGAAGGUGCACUUGUUAGACUAUUGGUUCAGCUACAUCUAACAGACCUACAGUAGUAGUACUGAGUUGGACAAUAUCAAGCUUUAUUUUCCACUUACCUAGUAGUCUAAAGGUCUGUUUCCUAGAACUAGUAUGGUGACUCCAUGGUGUCAGGGACCCAGGCUGCUCUCAUCUUACUGCUUCAUCUUCCCUAGCCUUCAUUUGCAUGCUUCAGAUGGCUCACUGCAGCUGAGCCUCAGUUGGUCCAGACAGGAGAGGCAGGACAUGCCCCCUCCCCAGAAACUGCACCCAGUACUUUGCACACACCCAGCUGCAAUGAAGGCUGAGAAGUGUCCUUAUUUGGGGUAACCAGUAAAAACAAAUUCUAUUAGAGGAAGAGAACAGAUACUGGGAGACAACUAGUCUCCCCAGCAUAUUCCUGGAAAUGAUAACAUUUCAGAAAAGGGAGUGGGUGGACCAGAGAGGGAGGAAUCAUUAUCUCAUCCAAAGAAUGACUUCUGGCCUAAAGCAUCUAAGUCACCAUCAAAAAAGUCUGUGCUCUCCCUGAUUUUCCUUUAAAGGGCAUUGGUUGAGCUGCAAGGGACUCCCCUGUUAAAUGCCUGGCACUACUUAUGGGGUAUGAGGUGGCCUUUGAGGUCCAGCAGAGUUGUUGAUCCACCCCCAUCAAUCAGCUGGCCCCAGCCUCAUUAGGACAUCACAAGAACAAGAUUCUGACCUGGAAGAAAUGGUCAGAAACUGGAGGGAGAAGAGUCUUUCAGCAGCAAAGCUAAUUAAAAGGGAAAACCUGUUUCCACCCCUCUUCACUAUAUGCACAAUCUACCUUCUUGUUAUUACAUGCCUAAUUUGUCACCAAAGCCAAUCAGUUCCUGGGUGUUUUGCUUACACCUUUAGAUUUUGCACAUUCUUUCCUUAGUGCUCCUCCCUGUUAUUCCUCCAACUGCUUAAAACAUGUUUCUUGAGCAUUGGAACAAACCCACAUAUAUUCCCCUCCCUACACAAGGAGAAUACUGCUUUCUGUUAACAAAAACAACAAAAAGCCAAAAACAGUUCUGUCCUUCAGGUCCACAUGGUGGAUUUUAAGUCACGCAUUCUUUUUCUACCUAUGUGGAAGUUUAAUUAGUUUAAGUGGGAGGGCUGCGCCAAGAAACAGCACCAUAUCACAAUCUCAAUCUGCAGAGCAGAUUUUUUUCCCCUUAAUAAUGCUAUUUCAAACCCAAUGCUGCUUGCAGGUUUGAAACUGACAGUGUGUGUUAUUAGACAACAGCUACUGGUCCUUUCCAGGUUGCUUUAUCAUUCCAGGUUCCAGUCAGCAUUAUCCAUGAGCUGACUCUGCGGAUAACAGCAAAACCAUGUAUUUGAGGUACUAUGUGGUUUACAAAGCAUUUCAGACAAUACAGUGUGUUGUUUCAUGUCAGCCUUGUGCUCAUCUUGGUCAUAAAUGGAUAGCAUCACUCCCAUUUGGGUGAUGAAAAACUGAGGCUGGGAAUGGUUAAGUGACCAAGAAUGAACUAAAACUGGGUGCAAUCUCUCUGUGUUGCUAACAUAAGAUGUUAAAGAAUCGCCUAUGGUUAAAAGAGAAUUGAGUAUUUUUAACAAUGUUUUUUUCUUCUUGCUACAGUCCAAGAUUGUCCUGAACUUUGAUUUGCUAGACUUAUUUUCCACAAUCCUUUAAAUAAGGCUUUGAAAUUUUUCUCUUCCUCUGGGUCUUUUUUCACUUUGAGGUAAGGAUGACAAGCACAGAUCUUUCUUACAUAAUUUCUAGGUUUUAUAUCUUAGUUCUCUUCCCGCAAAUUUAAAAUGCCACUUUGAUUCUAUCACAGUCAAGGAAAACAAUCCCUCAUUUCUGCUAUUUAAGAUUAAAGGAAUUACAUCUAAAUACCAAUUAUCAGAAGCCUUCUGAAUAUUUCAUUUCUAAUGGAAAUGCUGGAUGUUUUAAAGCAACAUUAUCCCUUAUAAAACAGUUUGGAAAGAAAAGAAAAAAUCCCACAAGAGUAAUAAGGACUGCAUUUUGUAGGCAGAAGCUAGUUUUCAGAAAAAGUGCUGUUAUCUGUUAUAAGACUGCAAGAAAAUGGAUUUUAUAGUGAAAAUAGCUAAGAACACAAUCACCAUGUUAAGAAUGCUUUAGGGUGCGAGUAAAUGUCAGUAGUGUUAACAUGUAUGGGCAUGUAUCUGGAUGAGCUCUUUUAAAGAAAAGUCACAAGUUUUAUAAAAUCUAAGAAACUUUAAAGCUGUGUCAUUUAUAAUGUAAAAUUAAUGCACUUGAAAUUUAGUGGUUGACUCAUAGCUCCCACAUUUAUCUUCAGUUCUCUUUAGCUCAUAUGGUUUUCUUUAAAGAUUAGUGAUAUCAGCUAAAUGGGACUAUUUCCCACUCCUACCCACAGAAAAAGAAGUGCUUUUAUGAACGUGUCAGCUCCAUUCCAUCAUUACCUACCAUCAGGGAGUGCAACAGAAGCCGAAGCUGUCUGGCCAUUCAAGCUCCAGCACCAAUAUUAGUACAGGUUCAGGAGCAAAAUCCAAAUAAGACAACCCUAAAAUGUCCAUCUGUUUGUUUUAUGCAUGUAAGCCACCAUUCUAGUACCAAAGAUUUUUUUAUCUAGACUGGAUCUUUGAAGUCUUCCAAGUAUGCAUCCUUGUUUUGGACAUGGGGAAACUGAGCACAGAGAGGUUCACCAACUUGCCCAAAGUGACACAGCUCACAGCUGAGCCUAGAACACAGGGCUGUGGGAUUCCAAAGCCUUUGUACCUUCUGCUGCAUUGCUUCAUGGAGAGGAAAUGAUUCACCCCAAAUCUUUUGGCCUAUGCCCUUGCCGCAGCCCACAUAGCUGCCAUUCAACAGUACCUUCUGUUGGUGUCGUGCUGGCUAGGAGGCAAUUCCGUGAAUGUUCCCCAGAUGUGGGAAGCCAGACACUGUAUCUCUCCUUAAAGCUCCUCAGCUCUACUCCCUCCUGUGCGUUGCUUUCUCGUUACCCUUCUGGACACAUUCCACUGACUAGGUCCAGUUUCAGGGCCCAUUUUAUUAAAGUGAAACCCACCCAAAAUGGGACUCCUUCAGGACGUCCCUCAUCACUGUAUUCCCACUGCUGGGCUUCCUGCCUCCCAGCCCCGACCAGUCAGCCCCUUGCCUCUCCUGCUUCUCUCUCAACCCCCAACAUCCAAGUAAUUUCUCUCACAGCUCACCUUUUUCUACUUCCAUUGCUCUUUUUUUUUUUUUAACCUUGACUGAAAAUAGUCCUUUAGCUGGUUUCCCUGCCUCAAGACUCUCUAGAAAGGCUUUUCCUAAGCUUCAGUAGCUAUACAAGACCUAAUUGCUGUUGGUUUGUUAUCUCUGGACAAAGAAGCCACCACUGCUUCUGAUUCUGCUGUGAUUCUGCCAGCUCUAUGGCUUUAGGUAUGUGAUUUGUACAUUUGACUUCACUUUUCUCCAUGUAUAAAUUGAAGAUGUUGAGCAAAACCACUUCUAAAGAGAUGCCUCCCGUUCUAAGCUGCUGUGUAUCUCCUCACUUCAACCUGCCCAAAUAUUUCUUAAGAAAUCUUUCUAAAACACUCAUCUUUAUUUUUUACCACCACAAAAAUCUUUCAGUUGCCUCCUUUGACAUAAAUCCCAAUCUCCUUAACUUACAUUAAGGACCCACUACACAUUGGUACUAAAUUCUCCUACCUUACUGUUCCAUGCAUGUCAUGAACCCAUGUUCACGCCAAACUCAGCUACUCCCUUUUGGUCAUACCUGUGCCAGUCUUCUCACCUCUUUGCUCUUGCUACACUAAAUGCUUUCUACCUUGUGCUAUAGGUGGAAUCCAUGCCACAUCUUUGUAAGCUCCUUAAAAGCAGGGGCUACUACUGCUUCAUCUUUGUUUCCCACACAACAUUUAGCACUUUGUAGGUACUCAGUAAGUAAUUGUUUUUUGUUUUUGUUUUUGUUUUUUGUAUCAUUAAUAUACAAUUACAUUAGUAACAUUGUGGUUACUAGACUCCCCCCAUUAUCAAGUCCCCACCACAUACCCUAUUAUAGUCACUAUCCUUUACCAUAGUAAGAUGCUGUAGAGUCACUCCUUAUCUCCUCUGUGCUAUACUGCCUUCCCCGUGCGGCCCCCCCAUUAUGUAUGCUAAUCAUAGUGCUCCUUAUUGCCCUUAUCCCUCGCUUCCCACCCUUCCUCCCCAGUCCCUUUCCCUUUGGUAACUGUUAGUCCAUUCUUGGGUUCUGUGAGUCUGCUGCUGUUUUGUUCCUUCAGCUUUUGCUCUGUUGUUAUGCUCCACAGAUGAGUGAAAUCAUUUUAUACUUGUCUUUCUCCGCCUGGCUUAUUUCACUAAGCAUAAUACCCUCUAGCUCCAUCCAUGUUGCUGCAAAUGGUAGGACUUCUUUUCUUCUUAUGGCUGAAUAAUAUCCCACUGUGUAUAUGUACCACAUCUUUAUCCAUUCAUCUACUGAUGGACACUUAGGUUGCUUCCAUUUCUUGUCUAUUAUAAAUAGUGCUGCAAUAAACAUAGGGGUGCAUAUGUCUUUUUUGAAAUUGGGCUCCUGCAUUCUUAGGGUAAAUUUCUAGGAGUGGAAUUCCUGGGUCAAAUGGUAUUUCUGUUUUUAAUUUUUGAGGAACCUCCAUACUGCUUUCCAUAAUGGUUGAACGAAUUUACAUUCCUACCAGCAGUGUAGGAGGGUUCCCCUUUCUCCACAUCCUCGCCAACAUUUGUUGUUGUUUGUCUUUUGGAUGGUGGCCAUCCUAACCAGUGUGAGGUGAUAGCUCAUUGUGGUUUUAAUUUGAAUUUCCCUGAUGACUAGUGAUGUGGAGCAUCUUUUCAUGUGCCUGUUGGCCAUCUGAAUUUCUUCUCUGUAGAAGUGUCUGUUCAGAUCCUCUGCCCAUUUUUUAAUUGGCUUAUUUGCUUUUUCUUUGUUGAGGCACAUGAGUUCUUUAUAUAUUUUGGAUAUCAAUCCCUUAUCAGAUACAUCAUUUACAAAUAUAUUCUUCCAUACUGUAGGAUACCUUUUUGUUCUACUGAUGGUGUUCUUUGCUGUACAGAAGCUUUUAGUUUGAUAUAGUCCCACUUGUUCAUUUUUGCUUUUGUUUCCCUUGCCUGGAAAGAUAUGCUCAUGAAGAAGUUGCUCAUGUUUAUAUUCAAGAGAGUUUUGCCUGUUUUCUUCUAAGAGUUUUAUGGUUUCAUGACUUACAUUCAGGUCUUUGAUCCAUUUCGAGUUUACUUUUGUGUAUGGAGUUAGACAGUAAUCUAGUUUCAUUCUCUUACAUGUAGCUGUCCAGUUUUGCCAACACCAGUUGUUGAAGAGGCUGUCAUUUCCCCACUGUAUAUCCAUGGCUCCUUUAUCAUAUAUUAAUUGAACAUAUAUGCUUGGGUUAAUAUCUGGACUUGCUAUUCUGUUCCACUGGUCUAUGGGUCUGUUCCUUUGCCAGUACCAAAUUGUCUUGAUUACUGUGGCUUUGUAGUAGAGCUUGAAAUUGGGAAGCGACAUCCCCCCUGCUUUAUUCUUCCUUCUUAGGGUUACUUUGGCUAUUUGGGGUCUUUAGUGGUUCCAUGUGAAUUUUAGAACUCUUUGUUCUAGUUCGUUGAAGAAUGCUGUUGGUAUUUUGAUAGGGAUUGCAUUGACUCUGUAGAUUGCUUUAGGCAGGGUGGCCGUUUUGACAAUAUUAAUUCUUCCUACCCAAGAGCAAGGGAUGAAUUCCAUUUAUUAGUGUCCUCUUUAAUUUCUCUUAGGAGUUUCUUGUAGUUUUCAGGAUAUAGGUCUUUCACUUCCUUGGUUAGGUUUAUUCCUAGGUAUUUUAUUUUUCUUGAUGCAAUUGUGAAUGGAAUUAUUUUCCUGAUUUCUCUUUCUGCUAGUUCAUCAUUAGUGUAUAGGAAUGCCACAGAUUUCUGUGUAUUAAUUUUGUAUCCUACAACCUUGCUGAAUUGAGAUAUUAGUUCUAGUAGUUUUGGAGUGGAUUCUUUAGGAUUUUUUAUGUACAAUAUCAUGUCAUCUGCAAACAGGGACAGUUUGACUUCUUCUUUUCCAAUCUGGAUGCCUUUUAUUUCUUUGUGUUGUCUGAUUGCUCUGGCUAGGACCUCUCUAGUACUAUAUUGAAUAGAAGCAGGGAGAGUGGGCAUCCUUGUCUUGUUUCUGAUCUUAGAGGAAAAGCUUUCAGCUUCUCAUUGUUAAGUAUGAUAUUGGCUGUGGGUUUGUCAUAUAUGGCCUUUAUUAUGUUGAGGUACUUGCCCUCUAUACCCAUUUUGUUGAGAGUUUUUAUCAUGAAUGGAUGUUGAAUUUUGUCAAAUGCUUUUUCAGCAUCUAUGGAGAUAAUCAUGUGGUUUUUGUCCUUCUUUUCGUUGAUGUGGUGAAUGUUGAUGGAUUUUCGAAUAUACCAUUCAUGCAUCCCUGAGAUGAAUCCCACGUGAUCAUGGUGUAUGAUCCUCUUGAUGUAUUUUUUAAUUCGGUUUGCUAAUAUUUUGUUGAGUAUUUUUGCAUCUAUGUUCAUCAGGGAUAUUGGUCUGUAGUUUUCUUUUUUUGUGGUGUCUUUGCCUGAUUUUGGUAUUAGAGUGAUCCCAGCUUCAUAGAAUGAGUUUGGAAGUAUUCCCUCCUCUUCUAUUUUUUGGAGAACUUUAAGGAGAAUGAGUAUUAGAUCUUCUCUAAAUGUCUGAUAAAAUUCAGCAGUGAAUCCAUCUGGUAAGAGUUUUCUUUUCUUGGGUAGUUUUUUUUAUUACAAUUCAAUUUCAUUACUGGUAAUUGGUCCGUUUAGAUUUUCUGUUUCUUCCUUGGUCAGUCUUAGAAGGUUGAAUUUUUCUAGAAAGUUGUUCAUUUCUUCUAGGUUAUCCAGUUUGUUAGCAUAUAGUUUUUCAUAGUAUUCUCUAAUAAUUAUUUGUAUUUCUAUGGUAUCUGUAGUGAUUUUUCCUUUCUCAUUUCUGAUUCUGUUUAUAUGUAUAGAUUCUCUUUUUUUCUUAAUAAGGCUGGCUAGGGGUUUAUCUAUUUUGUUUAUUUUCUCAAAGAACCAGCUCUUGGUUUCAUUAAUUUUUUCUGUUUUAUUCUUCUCAAUUUUAUUUAUUUCUUCUCUGAUCUUUAUUAUAUCCCUCCUUCUGCUGACUUUGGGCCUCAUUUGUUCUUUUUUUCCAGUUUCAAUGAUUGUGACCUUAGACUAUUCAUUUGAGAUUGUUCUUCCUUCUUUAAAUAGGCCAGGAUUGCUAUAUACUUUCCUCUUAGAACUGCCUUCUCUGCAUCCCACAGAAGUUGGGGCGUUGUACUGUUUUUUUCAUUUGUCUUCAUAUAUUGCUUGGUCUCUGUUUUAAUUUGGUCAUUGAUCCAUUGAUUAUUUUGGAGCAUGUUAAGCCUCAAUGUGUUUGUGAGGCUUUUUGUUUUCUUUGUACAAUUUGUUUCUGGUUUUAUACCUUUGUGAUCUGAGAAGUUGGUUGGUAGAAUUUCAAUCUUUUUUAGUUUACUGAGGCUCUUUUUGUGCCCUAGUAUGUGGUCUAUUCUGGAAAAUGUUCCAUGUGCACUUGAGAAGAAUGUGUAUCCUGCUACUUUUGGGUGGAAUGUUCUAUAGAUGUCUGUUAGGUCCAUCUGUUCUAAUGUGUUGUUCAGUGCCUCUGUGUCCUCAUUUAUUUUCUGUCUGGUUGAUUUGUCCUUUGGCAUGAGUGGUGUGUUAAAGUCUCCUAAAAUGAACGCAUUGCAUUCCAUUUCCUCCUUUAAUUCUGUUAGUAUUUGUUUCACCUAUGGAGGUGCUCCUGUGUUGGGUGCAUAGAUCUUUCUAAUGGUUCAUUAGAAAUUUCUAAUAUCUAAUUCAAUAGAUAUUUCUAAUAUCCUCUUGUUGGACUGACCCCUUUAUUAUUAUGUAAUGUCCUUCUUUGUCUCUUGUUACUUUCUUUGUUUUGAAGUCUAUUCUGUCUGAUUCAGUAAGUAAUUGUUGAAUAAGUUUAUUCAACCCCCAACUGCACUAAAAUUUUGGAGCUAUUGUAUCAUACUCAUGACUCAUACUGGGCUUCCAGUCAAACUAAAUCCUUAAGCCUUUUAAAAAUAUAUUCUUUAAGCAAGCUAGUUUUCUUCCAUUCUUGCCUCUUGCCUACUUUGAACUGAUACUCAGAACAUCACCUGUUUAAUUUUCAUCCAUUUUUCUUGUCUGUACAGCUCUUUUUGAUUUUUUUUUAUUCUCUGACCUAGUUUAUUGUAAUGGCAUCUAAUUGAAUUAUCCACAGGUACAGUGGGUCUACUGGCUGUUUCACUGAUGCUAUUGAUAAAAAUGUUGAAGAGAAGAAAGACCAGCAGAUUGCCAGCUUGGCACUUCAUUGUCUAGCUGGACAAUGACCUCUUAUCUAGCAAUUUUUGGAUAUGGUCAUUUAAUCACAUAUGACUAUCUGCUCAUUUCAUUAUAAUUCAUCAUGUAUAUAGACAAUGAAGAACAAUCUGUGCAUUCAUUCAACUCAUUUAUUGAAAACCAAUCAGAUAUAAGGCAGUGUGCUAGGCUUUGUGUGCUAAAAACCAGUGAUUAAGAUUUGACUACUGUCCUCUUUGAGCCACAAAGAGCAAAUACAACCAAUGUAGGACAAGGUAGAAGAGAAGCCUAACACAAGAGGUAGGUCAAAGAAAUUUGGAAAGUCAAAUGGAGAGGCACAUUCCUGACUGGGUGAAACCUUACAGAAUGAGUAGGAUUAUCAUAAGUGGAAAUGAGGGUGUUAUGGUACAGGUUAAGCUGUUGUAACAAAGAGAGUCCAAAAUAUGGAGGUGGCAAUAUUUUUACAACAGUGUUUCCAACAGUGGCAGUUCAUUUCUCUUUCAACAGUUAAGGAUAGGCAGGUGGUCCAAGCCUAGUUGUCCACCCUCAGUAGACUUCCACUUGCAUGUUCCAGGUGACUGCUGCAGUCCUCAGCAUCCCCAGCCAGAAGGAGUAGGAGACCGAGACGAACCAUUCAGUCAUUUUAAGGACGUAAGCAGGAAGUUACAUACAUUACUUCUAUUCAUGUCACAUUGGUCUGUGCUUAGUCACUUGGCCACAUCCAGUUGAAAGAGAGUUGGAAAAAUGUAGUCUUCCACUGGAUGGAUAUAGCCCCAUCCCCAGCCAAAACUUUGUCACUUUUGAAGGAGAAAACAGAUACUAGGAAGGCAAUUAACAGUGUGCCACAAAGGAGAAAGAAUGCCUUCCACUUGAGAAGAAAACUGAUUGAUUAACUAUAUCUCAGCUGAGUGGAAGUUAUAGGGAGCAUAGAUUUUUUAAAAAUUUACAACUCUUAGGAAGGAAUGGGCUGUCUUGAGUUAGAAUACUCCAUCUCUGAAAAUGGUCAAGAAAAAUGAUCAGAAGCACUUACACUCAAAGGGAGGAUGAAUAAAAGGUCAACCUCAAAGACUCAACUGUGUGAUUGUCAGUAAGGUGAGGCCCAGAAGACUGGUGGGCUAUAAACUGUCAGAAAACUACAACUCUAGCCCUAAUGCGAGGAAAUAAAGGUGGAAGCUAUAAGAAUGGACUGGAAGGAACAGAAAAAAGAACAAACAGAGGUUGGCUGUCCACAUGUGCACUUCUCAGAAAACAGCUUGGGGUAGUGAAGGGCAGAUGGGGGGAAGCACAUUAGCUUGGCCACCUUAGAUAUUUAGAGAGUUGGGCUCCAGGAAGCCAUUUCUGUGCUGUGGUCAGGCAUGGAAAGCCUAGGAAAGAGAACCUGGUUCUUUAUGCAUAAAACAAUGAGCACCCAAAUAGGCUCUGCUCUUGAAAAGGCAUUUUGUUCAUGCAUAAGUAUUUUUUCUCAUUCUGUCCUUAUUUUUUUCUGUUUAAAUUCAGUCAAAGCAUUACCAAAUUUCAAAAUAAUGUGGCCGGUUUUCCCCUACUCCACUUCUCAGUUCACCAAAGGCAUUUAAUCUGUUUGUUCUGAAAAUUCAACUGUUAUCUGUAUUUAUAUGUGUUCUGAUAGGAAAUGUUUUGUGUAGCAAUAAAAAUCAUUCCCUUUGGCAGAUACCUUGUUGCUUUGUUUUCUGUCCAAGAAUGAUAUUUCACAUCUGUUUAAUAGUAGCAUUUCCCCCACUAAGCAGAUUCCAUGAGUGGCCAGUUUGAAUGCCAAACCAGAGGAGUCAAAGCUUGUAGCUCCUAAUGGUUGUGCAGGGCCAUAGAAGAAUGUUCUCAAGCAGCCCCUGCAGACACCUGAGAGAAGAGAGGGAGGCAUAAUUAGAAAAGGCCUCCAGUGAGGGCUCCCCUGUCUCCUGUGUCUAAGGGACUCCUGCUGUUGGCACAAUCAUAGAUGCUUCCUUGUACUGAGCACUUGCCAUGUAAUAGGCAGUGGCCUGAGCACUUACAGGCAUUAUCUCAUUUGCCUCUUACAGUGGUUCUAUGAGGCAGGUAUCCUCACAGCUCCCAUUUUAUAGAAGAGGGAGCUGAGCUCAGAGAGCUCAGGUGACUUGUGCAAAGUCACACAGGAUUCAAACCUCACUUUGUUGGACUCCAGAGCUCUACAUCAGAUUCCUUAGAUGGAGUAUGUACUCUGAUUCUGCAUAGACUGUGUCUCUGCCUCUUGGGCAUUGCAAGCCAGGACAAUGAAGCCAUUGAGGAGGAUUUCCAGGGGGAGAUCAGAGAGAACAGGAGCAGGCAGAGCCUGGACCUGAGCCCUAAGGGAAUUAGUUUAGCUGAGGGAAUAAGCUAAGAUGGGCCAGGUGGGCCAGACCCACUCCAUGGAAGUUGGGUGGCAUGGGGUGAAAAGUACAGAUUUUAGAGGCAGGUCACCUGAGUUCACCCUCACUGACCCUGGCCAAGGUAAUUAUCCUUUCUAUGCCUCAGUUUUCCCAUCUGUAAAAUGAACAUAAAAAUCUUAUCUGUCUCAGGAUUGUCCUGAGGAUUGAGUGAAUAUAUCUGAGAUAGAGGCUGUUGGUUACCCCACAAUCCCCUCUUUUUCCAUAGUAAUGACUCCCAAUUCUUAGCUGGGCACAUGACCUCCCACAAUAAAAACUACACUAUCCAGCUUUCCUUGCAGCUGUGUAUGGCCAUAAACUAUGGCCACUGAGAUAUAAGCAGCUGCUAUGUGGCUGCUACCUGGAAAGGCCAGGUGGCAUGUACUCUUUGCUCCCUUUUUUUCUUUGUCCCUUCUUCCAGUCUUCUGCCUGGAAUGAAUGUGAAUGUGAUGUCUGGCAUUCUGGCUGCCAUUUUGGACAAGAGGACAAGGAUAACACCCUAUGGAUAAUGGAGCUGUGAGCUGGAUGGAGACUGUCUGAAGACUUAAUGAGUAAAGCCAUUAUACCAGUCCUUGGCUACCUACUUCUGGACAUGUACAUAAAAGAGAAGUAAACAACUCUCUUAUGAUCCUGCUGUACCAUCACUCCUGAGAUGAGCCUUGCCACUGACAUUAGUGAGUCAGCCAUAAAACAGCUAUCAAAAUUGGACCUGCAACUAGAUGAAAAGACCAGGAGGAAGUAUUCCAAGAUGGGUCUACUGGUGGUGGAAUUCAGGUUAUUUUAGGCAAACUGGCCAAGGCCCAGGGAAGACGGAAGGGUGGGCCCUGACACACAGUCUGAGCAGCUGCUGGCCAUGCCGCAGCCCUGGAGGGAGUGGCUGCAAAGGCAGGAAGGGCAGCAAUCCUGCUUUCACCUGCUAGCAGGUGUGGUGUAAGUGCUGGCUCCUUUUGUUGUCCUGAUAGUCCCAGGAGGGAGGUAUUGUUGGCCUACUGUAUCAGGCAGGGUCCAAGAAGGGGACAGAUUAGUGCACUCAAGUUGGCUAACUGAGGAGAGUCUAAUAAAGGGACGUUAAUAAAAGUGUGAGCAGAUUUAAGGAAUUCAGCAAAUAAUAGUGUAGUACCUCAGGACUUAGCAACAGCUGGGAAUCCUGAUGCCUCCUGAAGGGGUAAGAAGACCAGCCAGCCAUAACAACCCAGGAGAGAGGGAGCCAGGAAAAUUGACACCCUGGCCUCACUUUCUUCUGCCAGGGGUCCCCAGGGGCCAAAUGCAGUCAGGUGGGCCAGAGAGGUGAGCCUUCCAGGCCGUGGGCAGGAUGGGAAGAGUCAAGAGGGACUCUGGAAGAGAAAACAUGACCAGCGCAAUAAGGUUAGAUGAUCCUAGGUAAGGGAACCCAGGCAGUCUAGGCUUCAACCUGCAGGCUCUGCUUCUCUGCCUCUGUAACAGUGUCAUGCGACUCCAUUUUUCUGGUUUCACAUGCUCACUAGGUGCGCUUCCACUCUUGCCCAUGAAACCAGGGCAGACUGCAGCACUCUAGGCUGGCCUAGAAGUUUCCAGGAGGACACACACACACAGACCAUGCCGUUCUGUGAACACUAUCAGGAAACCACCUGGGAACUUCACUUCAACAGCAUAGAGAAUGCUUCAGUGACUCACCCCAGCACCAGGGCUCCAGAAGCAGUUAAGACCCUAGUUUGAAAAUUAGACUGGCCAGGACUUGAAUCCUGACUCUACCACUGACUAGGUGAAUUUGGGCCUCAUUUGUAGAAUGGAAGUUAUCAUAGCAGUGAGGAGAGUUGUUAAAAUUAAAUGCAAUAUGCAAUUUGCUUUGCACUCAUUAAAUGUUAUGCAAAACUCUAUUGUGGUAACUUCUAUGGUUUUGCACUACCAUGCCUUUUUGACCUACUUACUUACUCA
Manis pentadactyla (Chinese pangolin) is the source of this 20247-nucleotide long non-coding RNA. RefSeq lists it as uncharacterized. The record is from RefSeq and is a predicted model, not a curated record. The transcript is spliced from 4 exons. NCBI's taxonomy places the organism in Eukaryota, Metazoa, Chordata, Mammalia, Pholidota, Manidae.